Molecule: transfer-messenger RNA, 268 nt
Filed under: bacterium
Lineage: Bacteria
Description: partial transfer-messenger RNA
Rfam family: transfer-messenger RNA
About the family: Bacterial tmRNA, also known as 10Sa RNA or SsrA, is named for its dual tRNA and mRNA-like properties.
Source: RNAcentral
CUUUUCCAAGUCCCUCAACUUUCACCAGUUUUAGCCUAAAAUGCUAAAACCGCCCACUGAAAAUUUGCUCAAGAUUUGCUUUCGGGCGUCAUAAAUUUGAGCUAGAAAAUAUUUGGUGUUGGCUGAAUAUUUUGACCUUUCACCAACUAGGCUGCUGGUUUUUUGUUGAUUAUAUAGCUCUGCAGUCGAAUUCAACAAAUCAACUAAACUUGUAGAUAUUUAUUUGGAAAUUUAUUAGACAGGGGCGUGAUUCCCCUCAUCUCCACCA